UCCGGUUUAUCACCGGCAGUUUCCUUAUAGUUCCCGGCCGAGCCGCUGGCAAAUAAGGAUGAGGGUUUCGCUCGUUGCGGGACUUAACCCAACAUCUCACGACACGAGCUGACGACAGCCAUGCAACACCUGUGUGUGGUCCAGCCGAACUGAAAGUCUCAUCUCUGAGACCGACGACCACCAUGUCAAGGGUUGGUAAGGUUUUUCGCGUAGCAUCGAAUUAAACCGCAUGCUCCACCACUUGUGCGAGCCCCCGUCAAUUCCUUUGAGUUUUAAUCUUGCGAUCGUACUCCCCAGGCGGAGUGCUUAAUGUGUUAACUGCGAAACCGAAAAAUAAAUUUCCCGAUAUCUAGCACUCAUCGUUUACGGCGUGGACUAC
This 379-nucleotide unclassified non-coding RNA is filed under the name uncultured Rickettsiaceae bacterium. RNAcentral's name for it is "contains 16S-23S intergenic spacer region". Lineage: Bacteria; Pseudomonadati; Pseudomonadota; Alphaproteobacteria; Rickettsiales; Rickettsiaceae. The record is from RNAcentral.